UAAGCGACUAAGCGUACACGGUGGAUGCCCUGGCAGUCAGAGGCGAUGAAGGACGUGCUAAUCUGCGAUAAGCGUCGGUAAGGUGAUAUGAACCGUUAUAACCGGCGAUUUCCGAAUGGGGAAACCCAGUGUGAUUCGUCUCACUAUCAUUAACUGAAUCCAUAGGUUAAUGAGGCGAACCGGGGGAACUGAAACAUCUAAGUACCCCGAGGAAAAGAAAUCAACCGAGAUUCCCCCAGUAGCGGCGAGCGAACGGGGAGCAGCCCAGAGCCUGAAUCAGUGUGUGUGUUAGUGGAAGCGUCUGGAAAGGCGCGCGAUACAGGGUGACAGCCCCGUACACAAAAAUGCACAUGCUGUGAGCUCGAUGAGUAGGGCGGGACACGUGGUAUCCUGUCUGAAUAUGGGGGGACCAUCCUCCAAGGCUAAAUACUCCUGACUGACCGAUAGUGAACCAGUACCGUGAGGGAAAGGCGAAAAGAACCCCGGCGAGGGGAGUGAAAAAGAACCCGAAACCGUGUACGUACAAGCAGUGGGAGCACAGAGCAAUCUGUGUGACUGCGUACCUUUUGUAUAAUGGGUCAGCGACUUAUAUUCUGUAGCAAGGUUAACCGAAUAGGGGAGCCGAAGGGAAACCGAGUCUUAACUGGGCGUUAAGUUGCAGGGUAUAGACCCGAAACCCGGUGAUCUAGCCAUGGGCAGGUUGAAGGUUGGGUAACACUAACUGGAGGACCGAACCGACUAAUGUUGAAAAAAUUAGCGGAUGACUUGUGGCUGGGGGUGAAAGGCCAAUCAAACCGGGAGAUAGCUGGUUCUCCCCGAAAGCUAUUUAGGUAGCGCCUCGUGAAUUCAUCUCCGGGGGUAGAGCACUGUUUCGGCAAGGGGGUCAUCCCGACUUACCAACCCGAUGCAAACUGCGAAUACCGGAGAAUGUUAUCACGGGAGACACACGGCGGGUGCUAACGUCCGUCGUGAAGAGGGAAACAACCCAGACCGCCAGCUAAGGUCCCAAAGUCAUGGUUAAGUGGGAAACGAUGUGGGAAGGCCCAGACAGCCAGGAUGUUGGCUUAGAAGCAGCCAUCAUUUAAAGAAAGCGUAAUAGCUCACUGGUCGAGUCGGCCUGCGCGGAAGAUGUAACGGGGCUAAACCAUGCACCGAAGCUGCGGCAGCGACGCUGAUGCGUUGUUGGGUAGGGGAGCGUUCUGUAAGCCUGCGAAGGUGUGCUGUGAGGCAUGCCUGGAGGUAUCAGAAGUGCGAAUGCUGACAUAAGUAACGAUAAAGCGGGUGAAAAGCCCGCUCGCCGGAAGACCAAGGGUUCCUGUCCAACGUUAAUCGGGGCAGGGUGAGUCGACCCCUAAGGCGAGGCCGAAAGGCGUAGUCGAUGGGAAACAGGUUAAUAUUCCUGUACUUGGUGUUACUGCGAAGGGGGGACGGAGAAGGCUAUGUUGGCCGGGCGACGGUUGUCCCGGUUUAAGCGUGUAGGCUGGUUUUCCAGGCAAAUCCGGAAAAUCAAGGCUGAGGCGUGAUGACGAGGCACUACGGUGCUGAAGCAACAAAUGCCCUGCUUCCAGGAAAAGCCUCUAAGCAUCAGGUAACAUCAAAUCGUACCCCAAACCGACACAGGUGGUCAGGUAGAGAAUACCAAGGCGCUUGAGAGAACUCGGGUGAAGGAACUAGGCAAAAUGGUGCCGUAACUUCGGGAGAAGGCACGCUGAUAUGUAGGUGAAGUCCCUCGCGGAUGGAGCUGAAAUCAGUCGAAGAUACCAGCUGGCUGCAACUGUUUAUUAAAAACACAGCACUGUGCAAACACGAAAGUGGACGUAUACGGUGUGACGCCUGCCCGGUGCCGGAAGGUUAAUUGAUGGGGUCAGCGCAAGCGAAGCUCUUGAUCGAAGCCCCGGUAAACGGCGGCCGUAACUAUAACGGUCCUAAGGUAGCGAAAUUCCUUGUCGGGUAAGUUCCGACCUGCACGAAUGGCGUAAUGAUGGCCAGGCUGUCUCCACCCGAGACUCAGUGAAAUUGAACUCGCUGUGAAGAUGCAGUGUACCCGCGGCAAGACGGAAAGACCCCGUGAACCUUUACUAUAGCUUGACACUGAACAUUGAGCCUUGAUGUGUAGGAUAGGUGGGAGGCUUUGAAGUGUGGACGCCAGUCUGCAUGGAGCCGGCCUUGAAAUACCACCCUUUAAUGUUUGAUGUUCUAACGUUGACCCGUGAUCCGGGUUGCGGACAGUGUCUGGUGGGUAGUUUGACUGGGGCGGUCUCCUCCUAAAGAGUAACGGAGGAGCACGAAGGUUGGCUAAUCCUGGUCGGACAUCAGGAGGUUAGUGCAAUGGCAUAAGCCAGCUUGACUGCGAGCGUGACGGCGCGAGCAGGUGCGAAAGCAGGUCAUAGUGAUCCGGUGGUUCUGAAUGGAAGGGCCAUCGCUCAACGGAUAAAAGGUACUCCGGGGAUAACAGGCUGAUACCGCCCAAGAGUUCAUAUCGACGGCGGUGUUUGGCACCUCGAUGUCGGCUCAUCACAUCCUGGGGCUGAAGUAGGUCCCAAGGGUAUGGCUGUUCGCCAUUUAAAGUGGUACGCGAGCUGGGUUUAGAACGUCGUGAGACAGUUCGGUCCCUAUCUGCCGUGGGCGCUGGAGAACUGAGGGGGGCUGCUCCUAGUACGAGAGGACCGGAGUGGACGCAUCACUGGUGUUCGGGUUGUCAUGCCAAUGGCACUGCCCGGUAGCUAAAUGCGGAAGAGAUAAGUGCUGAAAGCAUCUAAGCACGAAACUUGCCCCGAGAUGAGUUCUCCCUGACUCCUUGAGAGUCCUGAAGGAACGUUGAAGACGACGACGUUGAUAGGCCGGGUGUGUAAGCGCAGCGAUGCGUUGAGCUAACCGGUACUAAUGAACCGUGAGGCUUAACCU
RNAcentral lists this ribosomal RNA (2904 nucleotides) under Escherichia coli DEC12C. RNAcentral's name for it is "bacterial LSU rRNA". It matches the Rfam family "Bacterial large subunit ribosomal RNA". Lineage: Bacteria; Pseudomonadati; Pseudomonadota; Gammaproteobacteria; Enterobacterales; Enterobacteriaceae. The record is from RNAcentral.